Molecule: ribosomal RNA, 373 nt
Filed under: uncultured organism
Description: partial 16S ribosomal RNA
Rfam family: Bacterial small subunit ribosomal RNA
Source: RNAcentral
GUAGGUGGCAAGCGUUGUCCGGAAUUAUUGGGCGUAAAGCGCGCGCAGGCGGUUCUUUAAGUCUGAUGUGAAAGCCCACGGCUCAACCGUGGAGGGUCAUUGGAAACUGGAGAACUUGAGUACAGAAGAGGAAAGCGGAAUUUCACGUGUAGCGGUGAAAUGCGUAGAGAUGUGGAGGAACACCAGUGGCGAAGGCGGCUUUCUGGUCUGUAACUGACGCUGAGGCGCGAAAGCGUGGGGAGCAAACAGGGAUUAGAUACCCUGGUAGUCCACGCCGUAAACGAUGAGUGCUAAGUGUUAGGGGGUUUCCGCCCCCUUAGUGCUGCAGCUAACGCAUUAAGCACUCCGCCUGGGGAGUACGGCCGCAAGGCUG